This 84-nucleotide transfer RNA is filed under the name Candidatus Methanofilum arcanum. RNAcentral describes it as "tRNA-Ser". It matches the Rfam family "tRNA". Rfam says of the family: Transfer RNA (tRNA) molecules are approximately 80 nucleotides in length. The record is from RNAcentral. Lineage: Archaea; Methanobacteriati; Methanobacteriota; Methanomicrobia; Methanomicrobiales; Methanospirillaceae.
GUUGAGAUAGCCAAGCUUGGUAUGGCGCAGGAUUGCUAAUCCUGUGUUCUCCGGGACGCGGGGGUUCAAAUCCCUCUCUCAACG